This 1672-nucleotide ribosomal RNA is filed under the name Campylobacter jejuni. Its description in RNAcentral is "partial 23S ribosomal RNA". It matches the Rfam family "Bacterial large subunit ribosomal RNA", at positions 1271 to 2925 of the family's 2925-position model. Lineage: Bacteria; Pseudomonadati; Campylobacterota; Epsilonproteobacteria; Campylobacterales; Campylobacteraceae. The record is from RNAcentral.
UGCUGGAGCGAAUAGAAGUGAGCAUGCAGGCAUGAGUAGCGAUAAUUAAUGUGAGAAUCAUUAACGCCGUAAACCCAAGGUUUCCUACGCGAUGCUCGUCAUCGUAGGGUUAGUCGGGUCCUAAGUCGAGUCCGAAAGGGGUAGACGAUGGCAAAUUGGUUAAUAUUCCAAUACCAACAUUAGUGUGCGAUGGAAGGACGCUUAGGGCUAAGGGGGCUAGCGGAUGGAAGUGCUAGUCUAAGGUCGUAGGAGGUUAUACAGGCAAAUCCGUAUAACAAUACUCCGAGAACUGAAAGGCUUUUUGAAGUCUUCGGAUGGAUAGAAGAACCCCUGAUGCCGUCGAGCCAAGAAAAGUUUCUAAGUUUAGCUAAUGUUGCCCGUACCGUAAACCGACACAGGUGGGUGGGAUGAGUAUUCUAAGGCGCGUGGAAGAACUCUCUUUAAGGAACUCUGCAAAAUAGCACCGUAUCUUCGGUAUAAGGUGUGGUUCGCUUCGUACUAGGAUUUACUCCGAAAGCGAAGAAACUUACAACAAAGAGUCCCUCCCGACUGUUUACCAAAAACACAGCACUCUGCUAACUCGUAAGAGGAUGUAUAGGGUGUGACGCCUGCCCGGUGCUCGAAGGUUAAUUGAUGGGGUUAGCAUUAGCGAAGCUCUUGAUCGAAGCCCGAGUAAACGGCGGCCGUAACUAUAACGGUCCUAAGGUAGCGAAAUUCCUUGUCGGUUAAAUACCGACCUGCAUGAAUGGCGUAACGAGAUGGGAGCUGUCUCAAAGAGGGAUCCAGUGAAAUUGUAGUGGAGGUGAAAAUUCCUCCUACCCGCGGCAAGACGGAAAGACCCCGUGGACCUUUACUACAGCUUGACACUGCUACUUGGAUAAGAAUGUGCAGGAUAGGUGGGAGGCUUUGAGUAUAUGACGCCAGUUGUAUAUGAGCCAUUGUUGAGAUACCACUCUUUCUUAUUUGGGUAGCUAACCAGCUUGAGUUAUCCUCAAGUGGGACAAUGUCUGGUGGGUAGUUUGACUGGGGCGGUCGCCUCCCAAAUAAUAACGGAGGCUUACAAAGGUUGGCUCAGAACGGUUGGAAAUCGUUCGUAGAGUAUAAAGGUAUAAGCCAGCUUAACUGCAAGACAUACAAGUCAAGCAGAGACGAAAGUCGGUCUUAGUGAUCCGGUGGUUCUGUGUGGAAGGGCCAUCGCUCAAAGGAUAAAAGGUACCCCGGGGAUAACAGGCUGAUCUCCCCCAAGAGCUCACAUCGACGGGGAGGUUUGGCACCUCGAUGUCGGCUCAUCGCAUCCUGGGGCUGGAGCAGGUCCCAAGGGUAUGGCUGUUCGCCAUUUAAAGCGGUACGCGAGCUGGGUUCAGAACGUCGUGAGACAGUUCGGUCCCUAUCUGCCGUGGGCGUAAGAAGAUUGAAGAGAUUUGACCCUAGUACGAGAGGACCGGGUUGAACAAACCACUGGUGUAGCUGUUGUUCUGCCAAGAGCAUCGCAGCGUAGCUAAGUUUGGAAAGGAUAAACGCUGAAAGCAUCUAAGCGUGAAGCCAACUCUAAGAUGAAUCUUCUCUAAGCUCUCUAGAAGACUACUAGUUUGAUAGGCUGGGUGUGUAAUGGAUGAAAGUCCUUUAGCUGACCAGUACUAAUAGAGCGUUUGGCUUAUCUUUAAUAAAGCAU